ACAAAUGAAGACAGGCUGGAAGUGUCUUGCUAGUGGCCUCCUGACUGCUCCAGUUUUGUCCAGUCGAGAUGAGAAAGGCAGGCACCAUGCCCAAGAUGGGUCUCGAGGACAUUUCACCACAUAGCAUUAAUCUGGGGUGCUUUGGUGCCCUCAUGGGCUCUAGGUGCUGCUUGUCACCCCUGGCUGACUCUUGUUGACUCUCUUCCCUUUGCUGCCACUCUCAGCAUGUCAGCUGAACUGUUCCGACCAUGGCCACUGUGACUCGUUCACCAAACGCUGUAUCUGUGACCCUUUUUGGAUGGAGAAUUUCAUCAAGGUGCAGCUGAGGGAUGGAGAAAGCAACUGUGAGUGGAGCGUGUUAUAUGUUAUCAUUGCUACCUUUGUCAUUGUUGUUGCCUUGGGAAUCCUGUCUUGGAC
This 417-nucleotide small RNA is filed under the name Pongo abelii (Sumatran orangutan). RNAcentral describes it as "retained intron". Lineage: Eukaryota; Metazoa; Chordata; Mammalia; Primates; Hominidae. The record is from RNAcentral.